RNAcentral lists this ribosomal RNA (495 nucleotides) under uncultured bacterium. RNAcentral's name for it is "partial 16S ribosomal RNA". It matches the Rfam family "Bacterial small subunit ribosomal RNA", at positions 28 to 507 of the family's 1533-position model. The record is from RNAcentral.
GACGAACGCUGGCGGCGUGCCUAAUACAUGCAAGUAGAACGCUGAAGGAGGAGCUUGCUUCUCUGGAUGAGUUGCGAACGGGUGAGUAACGCGUAGGUAACCUGCCUGGUAGCGGGGGAUAACUAUUGGAAACGAUAGCUAAUACCGCAUAAUAGUAGAUGUUGCAUGACAUUUGCCUAAAAGGUGCAAUUGCAUCACUACCAGAUGGACCUGCGUUGUAUUAGCUAGUUGGUGGGGUAACGGCUCACCAAGGCGACGAUACAUAGCCGACCUGAGAGGGUGAUCGGCCACACUGGGACUGAGACACGGCCCAGACUCCUACGGGAGGCGGCAGUAGGGAAUCUUCGGCAAUGGACGGAAGUCUGACCGAGCAACGCCGCGUGAGUGAAGAAGGUUUUCGGAUCGUAAAGCUCUGUUGUAAGAGAAGAACGAGUGUGAGAGUGGAAAGUUCACACUGUGACGGUAUCUUACCAGAAAGGGACGGCUAACUACGUG